AUAAUCGAGUUUUGAUUGGGACCCUGUUGUGGGAGAAACGGCUAUAUUUGAAGGGUACAAAAACUAUUUUGAGCAGCUAACUACACUUUUUUUUUUGAUAACAGCAGCUAACUACACUUGGAAUGAGUAGUUGCUUCUGCUUGAGGAUGCCAUGGACAAGUUGCUCUGGCCCUGGCGUCGCAGCCAUGGAUAUACAUGUCUAAUUGUUGCUCUUAUGUAAUUUGGUUGCUUUUGAGUAGUUGGUCUCAAAGAAUUUCAUAGUUGCCUGGAUGUUGUAUUAGUUAAGCUAUUUCUAGAUCUGCCACAGGCUGAGUAUUAUAACUGUGAUUUGGUCGUAUUGGUAGCCUCCCGAGCUAAUCUUUUGUAGGUUUUCUUAGCUUGUUUCUGUGAAUAGGAUUUGGUUUAGUUCUCAAUUGUAGUUUGUUGUUAAUGGUUGUUCGGAUGGGUGUGGCCUCUUUGAAGUCGUGGUUAUGUUUUCAUUUGCACUAGGCUGGUCAUGUUGGUAGCCUCGCGUCGUAGUCUUGGUUUGAUACGUCCAAUUAUGAUUUAGACUUCAUUUUGCACAUCUUAUUGCUUAUACUUCAUAAGUUGACAAAGCUGCUCACAUAAGGUCAUUUUCUUUUUAUGGUUUCUCAGUUUGUAUAGUUUACUUGAAUGUUGAUAUGCUUCUCUGCAGGAUGCUUUUGCAGUUUCCUGUUCAUGGGGUACUCUUAAUUAGUGAGUUAUUUUUUCUUUGAAUGGUUAAGCAAUCCACGAUUCACUAUGAAUGAAGUGGGAGGUCUAAGGGAACAACUAAGGUUAUAUUGCAAGGUGUGAUGAUGCCCGCCUUUUGGAGCAUGUUCAACUUUUAUAGACCUAUUAGCUUGCUAUGCUUGACGACUAAACACUUGCUGCUGCACUUCUGUUAUUUAUAUUCUUUUUUGAACAACUAGCGCUCGUCUGUGUUGUGUAUGAGUGAACACUGCAAUGAUCUAUUUCAGUUAAGUGCACUUGCUUUUAACA
Molecule: non-coding RNA, 1002 nt
Organism: Triticum urartu
Lineage: Eukaryota; Viridiplantae; Streptophyta; Magnoliopsida; Poales; Poaceae
Source: RefSeq, a predicted model, not a curated record